GAUGAACGCUGGCGGCAUGCCUAACACAUGCAAGUCGAUCGGUAAGGCUCUUCGGAGUACACGAGAGGCGAACGGCUGAGUAACGCGUAGGAACACACCCUCCAGCUAGGGAUAAGACACCGAAAGGUGUUCUAAUACCGCAUAAGGUCAUCGGAUUAAAGCAUUUAUGCGCUGAAGGAGUGGCCUGCGUCAUUUUAGUUGGUUGGUGAGGUAAUGGCUCACCAAGUCGAUGCUGUGUAGCUGGUCGGAGAGGAUGAUCAGCCAGACUGGAACUGAGACACGGUCCAGACUCCUACGGGAGGGAGCAGUGAGGAAUAUUUCACAAUGAGCGAAAGCUUGAUGGAGCAAUGCCGCGUGCAGGAUGAAGGCCCUCGGGUUGUAAACUGAUUUUAUAAGAGAAGAUUAUGACGGUAACUUAUGAAUAAGGGACGGCUAACUACGUG
This 443-nucleotide ribosomal RNA is filed under the name uncultured bacterium. RNAcentral's name for it is "partial 16S ribosomal RNA". It matches the Rfam family "Bacterial small subunit ribosomal RNA", at positions 28 to 507 of the family's 1533-position model. The record is from RNAcentral.